RNAcentral lists this unclassified non-coding RNA (1010 nucleotides) under Limulus polyphemus (Atlantic horseshoe crab). Its description in RNAcentral is "dual 3',5'-cyclic-AMP and -GMP phosphodiesterase 11A- like, transcript variant X2". Lineage: Eukaryota; Metazoa; Arthropoda; Merostomata; Xiphosura; Limulidae. The record is from RNAcentral.
CAAUGUUUCGUCGCACAGACUACGAAGCAAGUUUUUCACCCUGGUAGACAAUGCACAAUAUCAUUGGGAAGAAGAGGAACACCGAGACGUCCUGAAGAGCAUGUUAAUGACAGCCUGUGACCUUGGAGCCUGUACUAAACCGUGGUCAAUCCAGCACAGGGUUGCAAAAUUGGUAACUGACGAAUUUUUUGAUCAAGGCGACAAAGAGAAGCUGCAAUUGAAAAUUCAGCCUCAGGCUCUGAUGGAUAGAGAAAAGGAACACGAACUACCCCAGCUACAAGUUACCUGGAUCGAGUCGGUCUGUUUACCGUUAUAUAAGGCCUUGUCAAAAGUCAACAGAGGUUUUACGGAAAUGGCUGUGGAAGCUGCUCGUAAUAGAGACAAGUGGAAAAUUCUUGCCUCUCGACGAACCAGCUUAACAAAUGGCAGUACUAAUUUGUACGGACAGGAAACUGGUGCUUCAUAAGUUUCUACCAAAACUGGACUCUUCCCUUCAUUUGUCUGCUAUAUCAUCUUUUUUUUCCUGGUUGAUCUUUAAUAACAUUUCAAUAAAACGUAAUUUCUUUGUUUCAAAUGCUGUGAAUAAAUAGCAUUGAACAAAAACUUUUGUCAUUGAAAGUCACCAACUGCCAGUUAAAGUUAUUUGUGUUACAAGCCAAUGAGAGUACUUAAAUAUAUUGUAAAACCAACCAAUGAUAAUACUUGUAUCUUGUAAGGCCAAUCAAUGAGAGUACUUGUAUUUUGAAAAACCAACCAAUGAGAGUACUCGUAUCUUGUAAGAUCAACCAGUAAGAGUGUUUGUGUACUAUGGCAAACCGUGAUUGAAUAAUGUUUAUUAUAAUUUGGCAUCUUCCUUUUUUUCUUGCUUUCCUUAAUAUAUCAUCAUGAACUAUAAGAUUUACUUAAAAUGCAUUUCAAUAUCUUUCGCACUUCAUGUGAGAGUAUCUAUUUUCUUGUUAUGAAUUUUAAUACCUUAACUGACAGAAAAAACAAAUUCUUAUCAAUUAGUA